This 189-nucleotide ribosomal RNA is filed under the name uncultured Chlamydiales bacterium. RNAcentral describes it as "partial 16S ribosomal RNA". It matches the Rfam family "Bacterial small subunit ribosomal RNA", at positions 305 to 487 of the family's 1533-position model. The record is from RNAcentral. Lineage: Bacteria; Pseudomonadati; Chlamydiota; Chlamydiia; Chlamydiales.
CGCCAACACUGGGACUGAGAACUGCCCAGACUCCUACGGGAGGCUGCAGUCGAGAAUCAUUCGCAAUGGGCGAAAGCCUGACGAUGCGACGCUGUGUGAGUGAUGAAGGCCUUCGGGUUGUAAAGCUCUUUCGCUUGGGAACAAGAGAGGUUAGUUAAUACCUAGCUAAUUUGAGGGUACCAGGUAAAG